UAAGCGACUAAGCGUACACGGUGGAUGCCCUGGCAGUCAGAGGCGAUGAAGGACGUGCUAAUCUGCGAUAAGCGUCGGUAAGGUGAUAUGAACCGUUAUAACCGGCGAUUUCCGAAUGGGGAAACCCAGUGUGUUUCGACACACUAUCAUUAACUGAAUCCAUAGGUUAAUGAGGCGAACCGGGGGAACUGAAACAUCUAAGUACCCCGAGGAAAAGAAAUCAACCGAGAUUCCCCCAGUAGCGGCGAGCGAACGGGGAGCAGCCCAGAGCCUGAAUCAGUGUGUGUGUUAGUGGAAGCGUCUGGAAAGGCGCGCGAUACAGGGUGACAGCCCCGUACACAAAAAUGCACAUGCUGUGAGCUCGAUGAGUAGGGCGGGACACGUGGUAUCCUGUCUGAAUAGUGGGGGGACCAUCCUCCAAGGCUAAAUACUCCUGACUGACCGAUAGUGAACCAGUACCGUGAGGGAAAGGCGAAAAGAACCCCGGCGAGGGGAGUGAAAAAGAACCUGAAACCGUGUACGUACAAGCAGUGGGAGCACAGAGCAAUCUGUGUGACUGCGUACCUUUUGUAUAAUGGGUCAGCGACUUAUAUUCUGUAGCAAGGUUAACCGAAUAGGGGAGCCGAAGGGAAACCGAGUCUUAACUGGGCGUUAAGUUGCAGGGUAUAGACCCGAAACCCGGUGAUCUAGCCAUGGGCAGGUUGAAGGUUGGGUAACACUAACUGGAGGACCGAACCGACUAAUGUUGAAAAAUUAGCGGAUGACUUGUGGCUGGGGGUGAAAGGCCAAUCAAACCGGGAGAUAGCUGGUUCUCCCCGAAAGCUAUUUAGGUAGCGCCUCGUGAAUUCAUCUCCGGGGGUAGAGCACUGUUUCGGCAAGGGGGUCAUCCCGACUUACCAACCCGAUGCAAACUGCGAAUACCGGAGAAUGUUAUCACGGGAGACACACGGCGGGUGCUAACGUCCGUCGUGAAGAGGGAAACAACCCAGACCGCCAGCUAAGGUCCCAAAGUCAUGGUUAAGUGGGAAACGAUGUGGGAAGGCCCAGAUAGCCAGGAUGUUGGCUUAGAAGCAGCCAUCAUUUAAAGAAAGCGUAAUAGCUCACUGGUCGAGUCGGCCUGCGCGGAAGAUGUAACGGGGCUAAACCAUGCACUGAAGCUGCGGCAGCGACGCUUAUGCGUUGUUGGGUAGGGGAGCGUUCUGUAAGCCUGCGAAGGUGUGCUGUGAGGCAUGCUGGAGGUAUCAGAAGUGCGAAUGCUGACAUAAGUAACGAUAAAGCGGGUGAAAAGCCCGCUCGCCGGAAGACCAAGGGUUCCUGUCCAACGUUAAUCGGGGCAGGGUGAGUCGACCCCUAAGGCGAGGCCGAAAGGCGUAGUCGAUGGGAAACAGGUUAAUAUUCCUGUACUUGGUGUUACUGCGAAGGGGGGACGGAGAAGGCUAUGUUGGCCGGGCGACGGUUGUCCCGGUUUAAGCGUGUAGGCUGGUUUUCCAGGCAAAUCCGGAAAAUCAAGGCUGAGGCGUGAUGACGAGGCACUACGGUGCUGAAGCAACAAAUGCCCUGCUUCCAGGAAAAGCCUCUAAGCAUCAGGUAACAUCAAAUCGUACCCCAAACCGACACAGGUGGUCAGGUAGAGAAUACCAAGGCGCUUGAGAGAACUCGGGUGAAGGAACUAGGCAAAAUGGUGCCGUAACUUCGGGAGAAGGCACGCUGAUAUGUAGGUGAAGUCCCUCGCGGAUGGAGCUGAAAUCAGUCGAAGAUACCAGCUGGCUGCAACUGUUUAUUAAAAACACAGCACUGUGCAAACACGAAAGUGGACGUAUACGGUGUGACGCCUGCCCGGUGCCGGAAGGUUAAUUGAUGGGGUCAGCGCAAGCGAAGCUCUUGAUCGAAGCCCCGGUAAACGGCGGCCGUAACUAUAACGGUCCUAAGGUAGCGAAAUUCCUUGUCGGGUAAGUUCCGACCUGCACGAAUGGCGUAAUGAUGGCCAGGCUGUCUCCACCCGAGACUCAGUGAAAUUGAACUCGCUGUGAAGAUGCAGUGUACCCGCGGCAAGACGGAAAGACCCCGUGAACCUUUACUAUAGCUUGACACUGAACAUUGAGCCUUGAUGUGUAGGAUAGGUGGGAGGCUUUGAAGUGUGGACGCCAGUCUGCAUGGAGCCGACCUUGAAAUACCACCCUUUAAUGUUUGAUGUUCUAACGUGGACCCGUAAUCCGGGUUGCGGACAGUGUCUGGUGGGUAGUUUGACUGGGGCGGUCUCCUCCUAAAGAGUAACGGAGGAGCACGAAGGUUGGCUAAUCCUGGUCGGACAUCAGGAGGUUAGUGCAAUGGCAUAAGCCAGCUUGACUGCGAGCGUGACGGCGCGAGCAGGUGCGAAAGCAGGUCAUAGUGAUCCGGUGGUUCUGAAUGGAAGGGCCAUCGCUCAACGGAUAAAAGGUACUCCGGGGAUAACAGGCUGAUACCGCCCAAGAGUUCAUAUCGACGGCGGUGUUUGGCACCUCGAUGUCGGCUCAUCACAUCCUGGGGCUGAAGUAGGUCCCAAGGGUAUGGCUGUUCGCCAUUUAAAGUGGUACGCGAGCUGGGUUUAGAACGUCGUGAGACAGUUCGGUCCCUAUCUGUCGUGGGCGCUGGAGAAUUGAGGGGGGCUGCUCCUAGUACGAGAGGACCGGAGUGGACGCAUCACUGGUGUUCGGGUUGUCAUGCCAAUGGCACUGCCCGGUAGCUAAAUGCGGAAGAGAUAAGUGCUGAAAGCAUCUAAGCACGAAACUUGCCCCGAGAUGAGUUCUCCCUGACUCCUUGAGAGUCCUGAAGGAACGUUGAAGACGACGACGUUGAUAGGCCGGGUGUGUAAGCGCAGCGAUGCGUUGAGCUAACCGGUACUAAUGAACCGUGAGGCUUAACCU
Molecule: ribosomal RNA, 2903 nt
Filed under: Escherichia coli 2726800
Lineage: Bacteria; Pseudomonadati; Pseudomonadota; Gammaproteobacteria; Enterobacterales; Enterobacteriaceae
Description: bacterial LSU rRNA
Rfam family: Bacterial large subunit ribosomal RNA
Source: RNAcentral